This 251-nucleotide unclassified non-coding RNA is filed under the name uncultured Pleosporales. RNAcentral describes it as "sequence contains 5.8S rRNA gene, ITS2, 28S rRNA gene". RNAcentral also lists the same sequence under 1 other name. Lineage: Eukaryota; Fungi; Ascomycota; Dothideomycetes; Pleosporales. The record is from RNAcentral.
AACGCACAUUGCGGCCAUAGGUAUUCCUUUGGCCAUGCCUGUUCGAGCGUCAUUUACACCCUCAAGCCUAGCUUGGUGUUGGGCGUCUGUCCCGCUUCGCGCGCGGACUCGCCUCAAAGUCAUUGGCGGCGGUCGUGCCGGCCCCUGAGCGCAGCACAUUUGCGCUUCUCGGAGGCCCGGCGGACCCGCGCUCCAGCAAGACCUUUCUACGACUUGACCUCGGAUCAGGUAGGGAUACCCGCUGAACUUAA